GACGAACCGUGCGAACGUUGUUCGGAAUCACUGGGCUUAAAGGGCGCGUAGGCGGGCCUCCAAGUCCGGGGUGAAAUCCUCCCGCCCCAACGGGAGAAGAGCCUCGGAGACUGGGGGCCUCGAGGGAGGUAGGGGCGUGCGGAACUAUGGGUGGAGCGGUGAAAUGCAUUGAUAUCCAUAGGAACUCCGGUGGCGAAGGCGGCACGCUGGACCUCUUCUGACGCCUGAGGCGCGAAAGCCAGGGGAGCAAACGGG
Molecule: ribosomal RNA, 255 nt
Filed under: uncultured bacterium
Lineage: Bacteria
Description: partial 16S ribosomal RNA
Rfam family: Bacterial small subunit ribosomal RNA
Source: RNAcentral